AGUCGAGCGAACGGACGAGAAGCUUGCUUCUCUGAUGUUAGCGGCGGACGGGUGAGUAACACGUGGAUAACCUACCUAUAAGACUGGGAUAACUUCGGGAAACCGGAGCUAAUACCGGAUAAUAUUUUGAACCGCAUGGUUCAAAAGUGAAAGACGGUCUUGCUGUCACUUAUAGAUGGAUCCGCGCUGCAUUAGCUAGUUGGUAAGGUAACGGCUUACCAAGGCAACGAUGCAUAGCCGACCUGAGAGGGUGAUCGGCCACACUGGAACUGAGACACGGUCCAGACUCCUACGGGAGGCAGCAGUAGGGAAUCUUCCGCAAUGGGCGAAAGCCUGACGGAGCAACGCCGCGUGAGUGAUGAAGGUCUUCGGAUCGUAAAACUCUGUUAUUAGGGAAGAACAUAUGUGUAAGUAACUGUGCACAUCUUGACGGUACCUAAUCAGAAAGCCACGGCUAACUACGUGCCAGCAGCCGCGGUAAUACGUAGGUGGCAAGCGUUAUCCGGAAUUAUUGGGCGUAAAGCGCGCGUAGGCGGUUUUUUAAGUCUGAUGUGAAAGCCCACGGCUCAACCGUGGAGGGUCAUUGGAAACUGGAAAACUUGAGUGCAGAAGAGGAAAGUGGAAUUCCAUGUGUAGCGGUGAAAUGCGCAGAGAUAUGGAGGAACACCAGUGGCGAAGGCGACUUUCUGGUCUGUAACUGACGCUGAUGUGCGAAAGCGUGGGGAUCAAACAGGAUUAGAUACCCUGGUAGUCCACGCCGUAAACGAUGAGUGCUAAGUGUUAGGGGGUUUCCGCCCCUUAGUGCUGCAGCUAACGCAUUAAGCACUCCGCCUGGGGAGUACGACCGCAAGGUUGAAACUCAAAGGAAUUGACGGGGACCCGCACAAGCGGUGGAGCAUGUGGUUUAAUUCGAAGCAACGCGAAGAACCUUACCAAAUCUUGACAUCCUUUGACAACUCUAGAGAUAGAGCCUUCCCCUUCGGGGGACAAAGUGACAGGUGGUGCAUGGUUGUCGUCAGCUCGUGUCGUGAGAUGUUGGGUUAAGUCCCGCAACGAGCGCAACCCUUAAGCUUAGUUGCCAUCAUUAAGUUGGGCACUCUAAGUUGACUGCCGGUGACAAACCGGAGGAAGGUGGGGAUGACGUCAAAUCAUCAUGCCCCUUAUGAUUUGGGCUACACACGUGCUACAAUGGACAAUACAAAGGGCAGCGAAACCGCGAGGUCAAGCAAAUCCCAUAAAGUUGUUCUCAGUUCGGAUUGUAGUCUGCAACUCGACUACAUGAAGCUGGAAUCGCUAGUAAUCGUAGAUCAGCAUGCUACGGUGAAUACGUUCCCGGGUCUUGUACACACCGCCCGUCACACCACGAGAGUUUGUAACACCCGAAGCCGGUGGAGUAACCUUUUAGGAGCUAGCCGUCGAAGGUGGGACAAAUGAUUGGGGUGAAGUCGUAACAAGGUAGCCGUAUCGGAAGGUGCGGCUGGAUCACCUCCUUU
Molecule: ribosomal RNA, 1493 nt
Filed under: Staphylococcus aureus
Lineage: Bacteria; Bacillati; Bacillota; Bacilli; Caryophanales; Staphylococcaceae
Description: bacterial SSU rRNA
Rfam family: Bacterial small subunit ribosomal RNA
Source: RNAcentral